AAAGACAAAGUAGGAUCUUUAAUUCAAGAUCCAGGGAAUGAAUUGAAGUUAAAGAUGUACGCCCUUUUUAAGCAGAGCUCAAUGAUCUCGACCUUAUUUAAACCCAUUGAACUCUACAACAACUGGAAGGCUAACUUGGACGCCAUCUUUGAAGCCUGCACGAGCGCCGCCAUUGAAGGUACGGAGGCGAAAUACAUCACUUCGAAAUUGCCGAAUUUUUUG
This is a long non-coding RNA of Xenia sp. Carnegie-2017, 222 nucleotides long. RefSeq lists it as uncharacterized. Lineage: Eukaryota; Metazoa; Cnidaria; Anthozoa; Malacalcyonacea; Xeniidae. The record is from RefSeq and is a predicted model, not a curated record. The transcript is spliced from 2 exons.